UCUCUUGAACUGAAUUUUAAUGUGCGUAUUGUUAUUCUUUUACUUUUCUACAUUGGCUAGAGGUAUAGGGGGAGGGUUGAGAUCUCAUAAACAUGUUUAACCCCGCCGCAAUUUUGCGCCUGUCCCAAGUCAGGAGCCUCUGGCCUUUGUUAGUCUUGUAUGAUUUUAAAAUUUUAGUUUCUUGUGUAUAAUUCGGAGUUUAGUAUGACGUCCAUUAUCACUGUACUAUUAUGCAUAUUUUAGGGGCCAGCUGAGGGACACCUACGGGUGCGGGAAUUCUCGCUACAUUGAAGACCCAUUGGUUGCCUUCGGCUGUUGUUUGCUCUAUGGUCGGGUGGUUGUCGCUUUGACAUAUUCACCAUUUCCUUUCUCUCAAUUUUAU
This 382-nucleotide long non-coding RNA is filed under the name Mytilus galloprovincialis (Mediterranean mussel). Lineage: Eukaryota; Metazoa; Mollusca; Bivalvia; Mytilida; Mytilidae. The record is from RNAcentral.